AUUGAACGCUGGCGGCAGGCCUAACACAUGCAAGUCGAACGAGUGGCGGACGGGUGAGUAAUGUCUGGGAAACUGCCUGAUGGAGGGGGAUAACUACUGGAAACGGUAGCUAAUCCCGCAUACCAUCGGAUGUGCCGAGAUGGGCAUAGCUAGUAGGUGGGGUAAAGGCUCACCUAGGCGACGAUCCCUAGCUGGUCUGAGAGGAAGACCAGGCACCCUGUAACUGAGACACGGUACAGACUCCGACGGGAGGCAGCAGUGGGGAAUAUUGCACAAUGGGGGAAAGCCUGAUGCAGGCAUGUCGCGUGAAUGAAGAAGGCCCUAGGGUUGGAAAGUACUUUCAGCGGGGAGGCGGUACCCGAAGAAGAAGCCCCGGCUAACUCCGUGCCAGCAGCCGCGGUAAUUC
RNAcentral lists this ribosomal RNA (406 nucleotides) under uncultured bacterium. Its description in RNAcentral is "partial 16S ribosomal RNA". It matches the Rfam family "Bacterial small subunit ribosomal RNA", at positions 29 to 526 of the family's 1533-position model. The record is from RNAcentral.